AGGCAGCUGUGAGAGAAGUUG
RNAcentral lists this microRNA (21 nucleotides) under Ciona intestinalis (vase tunicate). RNAcentral describes it as "cin-miR-4127-3p". Lineage: Eukaryota; Metazoa; Chordata; Ascidiacea; Phlebobranchia; Cionidae. The record is from miRBase by way of RNAcentral.